GACGAACGCUGGCGGCGUGCUUAACACAUGCCAGUCGAACGGAAAGGCCCUGCUUUUGUGGGGUGCUCGAGUGGCGAACGGGUGAGUAACACGUGAGUAACCUGCCCUUGACUUUGGGAUAACUUCAGGAAACUGGGGCUAAUACCGGAUAGGAGCUCCUGCUGCAUGGUGGGGGUUGGAAAGUUUCGGCGGUUGGGGAUGGACUCGCGGCUUAUCAGCUUGUUGGUGGGGUAGUGGCUUACCAAGGCUUUGACGGGUAGCCGGCCUGAGAGGGUGACCGGCCACAUUGGGACUGAGAUACGGCCCAGACUCCUACGGGAGGCAGCAGUGGGGAAUAUUGCACAAUGGGCGGAAGCCUGAUGCAGCAACGCCGCGUGCGGGAUGACGGCCUUCGAGUUGUAAACCGCUUUCGCCUGUGACGAAGCGUGAGUGACGGUAAUGUGUAAAGAAGCACCGGCUAACUACGUG
Molecule: ribosomal RNA, 468 nt
Filed under: uncultured bacterium
Lineage: Bacteria
Description: partial 16S ribosomal RNA
Rfam family: Bacterial small subunit ribosomal RNA
Source: RNAcentral